RNAcentral lists this small nuclear RNA (76 nucleotides) under Ictidomys tridecemlineatus (thirteen-lined ground squirrel). RNAcentral's name for it is "Spermophilus tridecemlineatus (thirteen-lined ground squirrel) U2 spliceosomal RNA". It matches the Rfam family "U2 spliceosomal RNA", at positions 1 to 95 of the family's 192-position model. From Rfam's summary of the family: U2 is a small nuclear RNA (snRNA) component of the spliceosome (involved in pre-mRNA splicing). Complementary binding between U2 snRNA (in an area lying towards the 5' end but 3' to hairpin I) and the branchpoint sequence (BPS) of the intron results the bulging out of an unpaired adenosine, on the BPS, which initiates a nucleophilic attack at the intronic 5' splice site, thus starting the first of two transesterification reactions that mediate splicing. Lineage: Eukaryota; Metazoa; Chordata; Mammalia; Rodentia; Sciuridae. The record is from Rfam by way of RNAcentral.
AUCGCUUCUCGGCCUUUUGGCUAAGAUCAAGUGUAGUAUCAAAAAACAAAUGCUGUUGUAACAUAUCCUAGCUUAU